CCUUGUAGCGGGGGAUAACUAUUGGAAACGAUAGCUAAUACCGCAUAGCAAUGGAUGACACAUGUCAUUUAUUUGAAAGGGGCAAUUGCUCCACUACAAGAUGGACCUGCGUUGUAUUAGCUAGUAGGUGAGGUAAUGGCUCACCUAGGCGACGAUACAUAGCCGACCUGAGAGGGUGAUCGGCCACACUGGGACUGAGACACGGCCCAG
This 210-nucleotide ribosomal RNA is filed under the name uncultured bacterium. Its description in RNAcentral is "partial 16S ribosomal RNA". It matches the Rfam family "Bacterial small subunit ribosomal RNA", at positions 129 to 334 of the family's 1533-position model. The record is from RNAcentral.